This 561-nucleotide long non-coding RNA is filed under the name Vulpes vulpes (red fox). RNAcentral's name for it is "lncRNA (ENSVVUG00000014188.1)". The record is from RNAcentral. Lineage: Eukaryota; Metazoa; Chordata; Mammalia; Carnivora; Canidae.
AUGAGUAAUGAACGCACCCUGCCCGGUCCCAGGGCGCAGGACGCGGUCGGCCAGGCCGCCGGGAGGCCCAGCUGCGGGCGGCGGCGCGGGCGGAGCGGCCAAGGCGGUUGGUUAAAGGCGCAGCCACGGCGGCGAGAGCGCGCGCCCUNNNNGGGGGGGGGGGGGGGGGGUCCUGGGGGCCGGCCCGGAGCCGGUGCAUUAAUCACGCCGCUCCCCCGGCUAAGGGGCAGCGCCCGGGGAGCAGCCCCGACGCCGGAACAAAGGCAGAACGUGAUGAAGGGCGCACCUCUGCCAAUGCGGGCUUUGCAGAGGGGCUGGGAAAUGAAGGGCCCUUACCUCCGCGGCCAGGUGGUGUUCGUUUUGAUUCUUGUGGAAGUAUCAAGAAACCAACUUUGUAGUGUACUAAAGAUGGAUAGAGCAGAUAAGAUCAUGGAAAGCACGAGAGACUGGGCACUUGCUACUUCAAGAUGAAUGGCAUUUCAAGAUUCAAGUCCCUUGUUAACCUUCGUAAUCUGCUGCAAAUAUAACCCUUUUGACCAAGUAUUUGGAAGGAAUAAAAAU